GAGUCUUCAGAGCUGAGGUGAGUCGUUGACGCUUUUUCUCGUGUUUACACAACAAUAAAACACACUUUACAGUUUAUUAAAGCGACAAUCUGCGACUAGUUUCUGCAUUGAGUUCACCUCUAUCUGUGUGUCUGCUGACCAAAACAAUACAGCAGGCAGAGAGGAGCUCUGAGAGGACAAUAUGAAUUUCUCUUUCUUCUCCUGAAGCUCUGCCGCCAUCAGUGAAAGACAAAGACAGAGUUUAUUGAAGGACAGUGAGAAGAUGAGUGAUCCAGAACCCUGCAGAAUUAAACAGGAAGAGACUGAAGAACUAAUAGAUGUGAUUGUGAAGGAGGAGAGUGAAGAACUGAGUGAAGAUGAGGAGAAACAUCAUGUCAAAAGUGAAACUGAAACUGAGACCAAUGCAGAACACAGUAUCUUAAUGGAAAGCACAACAGUGAAAUGUUUCACCUGCACUCAGUGUGGAAAGAGUUUCAAGCACAAAUGCUCUCUCAACGUCCACAUGAAGAUCCACACUGGAGAGAAACGCUACAAGUGUUCACACUGCGAGAAGAGCUUCAUUCAUACAGGACAUUUAAAACGGCACCAGAGGACUCAUAGUAGAGAGAAACCGUUUCAUUGCACUGCUUGUGGGAAGAGUUUCAAACAUUUGUGUUCACUGCAAAAACAUUCAGUCAAGCUUCACG
Non-coding RNA from Danio rerio (zebrafish), 686 nucleotides. Lineage: Eukaryota; Metazoa; Chordata; Actinopteri; Cypriniformes; Danionidae. The record is from Ensembl.